This 468-nucleotide ribosomal RNA is filed under the name uncultured bacterium. RNAcentral describes it as "partial 16S ribosomal RNA". It matches the Rfam family "Bacterial small subunit ribosomal RNA", at positions 28 to 507 of the family's 1533-position model. The record is from RNAcentral.
GACGAACGCUGGCGGCGUGCUUAACACAUGCAAGUCGAACGGAAAGGCCCUGCUUUUGUGGGGUGCUCGAGUGGCGAACGGGUGAGUAACACGUGAGUAACCUGCCCUUGACUUUGGGAUAACUUCAGGAAACUGGGGCUAAUACCGGAUAGGAGCUCCUGCUGCAUGGUGGGGGUUGGAAAGUUUCGGCGGUUAGGGAUGGACUCGCGGCUUAUCAGCUUGUUGGUGGGGUAGUGGCUUACCAAGGCUUUGACGGGUAGCCGGCCUGAGAGGGUGACCGGCCACAUUGGGACUGAGAUACGGCCCAGACUCCUACGGGAGGCAGCAGUGGGGAAUAUUGCACAAUGGGCGGAAGACUGAUGCAGCAACGCCGCGUGCGGGAUGACGGCCUUCGGGUUGUAAACCGCUUUCGCCUGUGACGAAGCGUGAGUGACGGUAAUGGGUAAAGAAGCACCGGCUAACUACGUG